GAUGAACGCUGGCGGCGUGCCUAAUACAUGCAAGUCGAGCGAACGGACGAGAAACUUGCUUCUCUGAUGUUAGCGGCGGACGGGUGAGUAACACGUGGAUAACCUACCUAUAAGACUGUGAUAACUUCGGGAAACCGGAGCUAAUACCGGAUAAUAUUUUUAACCUCAUGGUUUAAAAUUGAAAUACGGUCUUGCUGUCACUUAUAGAUGGAUCCGCGCUGCAUUAGAUAGUUGGCAAGGUAACGGCAUACCAAGGCAACGAUGCAUAGCCGACCUGAGAGGGUGAUCGGCCACACUGGAACUGAGACACGGUCCAGACUACUACGGGAGGCAGCAGUAGGGAAUCUUCCGCAAAGGGCGAAAGGCUGACGGAGCAAAGCCGCGUGAGUGAUGAAGGUCUUCGGAUCGUAAAACUCUGUUAUUAGGGAAGAACAUAUGUGUAAGUAACUGUGCACAUCUUGACGGUACCUAAUCAGAAAGCCACGGCUAACUACGUG
RNAcentral lists this ribosomal RNA (497 nucleotides) under uncultured bacterium. Its description in RNAcentral is "partial 16S ribosomal RNA". It matches the Rfam family "Bacterial small subunit ribosomal RNA", at positions 28 to 507 of the family's 1533-position model. The record is from RNAcentral.